CUGGCGGCGUGCCUAAUACAUGCAAGUCGAACGCACUCUCGUUUAGAUUGAAGGAGCUUGCUCCUGAUUGAUAAACAUUUGAGUGAGUGGCGGACGGGUGAGUAACACGUGGGUAACCUGCCCUAAAGUGGGGAUAACAUUUGGAAACAGAUGCUAAUACCGCAUAAAACCUAACACCGCAUGGUGUAGGGUUGAAAGAUGGUUUCGGCUAUCACUUUAGGAUGGACCCGCGGUGCAUUAGUUAGUUGGUGAGGUAAAGGCUCACCAAGACCGUGAUGCAUAGCCGACCUGAGAGGGUAAUUCGGCCACACUGGGACUGAGACACGGCCCAGACUCCUACGGGAGGCAGCAGUAGGGAAUCUUCCACAAUGGACGAAAGUCUGAUGGAGCAACGCCGCGUGAGUGAAGAAGGUUUUCGGAUCGUAAAACUCUGUUGUUGGAGAAGAAUGUAUCUGAUAGUAACUGAUCAGGUAGUGACGGUAUCCAACCAGAAAGCCACGGCUAACUACGUG
RNAcentral lists this ribosomal RNA (512 nucleotides) under uncultured bacterium. Its description in RNAcentral is "bacterial SSU rRNA". It matches the Rfam family "Bacterial small subunit ribosomal RNA", at positions 36 to 507 of the family's 1533-position model. The record is from RNAcentral.